GCGAGGAUGGCGAAACCGGCAGACGCGCUGGACUUAGGAUCCAGUGCCGCAAGGCAUGGGGGUUCAACUCCCUCUCCUCGCA
This 82-nucleotide transfer RNA is filed under the name Candidatus Omnitrophota bacterium. RNAcentral's name for it is "tRNA-Leu". It matches the Rfam family "tRNA". From Rfam's summary of the family: Transfer RNA (tRNA) molecules are approximately 80 nucleotides in length. Their secondary structure includes four short double-helical elements and three loops (D, anti-codon, and T loops). Lineage: Bacteria; Pseudomonadati; Candidatus Omnitrophota. The record is from RNAcentral.